This 47-nucleotide non-coding RNA is filed under the name unclassified sequences. The record is from Rfam.
GGGGCUGGCCGCAAGGAUCGGGUCCUACCACGGCGAGGAAAUACCUC